This is a long non-coding RNA of Platichthys flesus (European flounder), 996 nucleotides long. RefSeq lists it as uncharacterized. The record is from RefSeq and is a predicted model, not a curated record. Lineage: Eukaryota; Metazoa; Chordata; Actinopteri; Pleuronectiformes; Pleuronectidae. The transcript is spliced from 3 exons.
UCGAUUUGAUGGAACUCCUUCACCUAUUGCUUCACCAACACAGGGUAUGGAGGGGUUAGCACUCCCCCAACAUCUUUCCUCAGGGAUGAAAAUGAAAGAUGGUGGAACAGCCAAAUUGACAAAAACAACUCAACCUCGCAAGAGAAAAAGAGAUAAAACAAGAGCGAACCUGUGACAGGCACCCUGUGGAGCGAGCGCCGGGACUUGAGAGGCUUCAAAAAGAACAUCCAGUUUGCCUUAUUUCUACGUGAUCAGUCUAACAGGAGGAGGCCUUGAUUCCCCUGCUUUGAGGGGGAGGAUGAGCCUGAAAGUCUCGCUAAUGAGCCUGAAAUGGAUCUGAGGAGGUAAUUGCGUGUGAAAAGGGCAAUGUGCUGGAGAAGACUGACAGACGGUCAGUGCAGGCGUCUCCUCUUGGCUCGGUGGACUCGGUCCUGCAGCUGCCCUCCAGCCUCCUCAAACCUGCUUAUGGGGCAUCUGCCACCUGCUUGAACACACACAAAUGUCACCAUGUCUGGAAAAGCAAUAUAUUAUGUCUAUUUGUUGUCCUCAGAUUAAUUUGCUCUAUUAAAGACAUGGAUUGAGGAUAAAAUAAAAUAAAAAGUCAGUUCGGGAGUAAUAUUUGAGCCACAAAUUAUAAACGUCCUCUACACAUCUCCCUUAACCAUUAGGUACAAGCCCCCUUGGAUGUGUUGUGUUGCUGUGCACAGUGGGAACAAACAGAGCCUGGAACAAACUGUCCAGUCGUGAGCGCCAUCGGAUUACUACCUAGAAUACUACCUUCAUUAAAUUGGACUCAGGAGAUGGUAGCAUUAAAAGUUCUCUUGCAAGACUAACAUUUGCAUGAAAACACGUCUCCUCCAUAAAUAACAAACUAAGUAUGAAUCAUUAGAAUGUUUUACGUUUUGUUUUACAUCUUAUUUAUGUUGAUUUGUAGCCUGACGUUGUCAGACUCACAAUUCGAGUCAGAACUGCCCGACCAAAAACGUUGUGGGUGGG